RNAcentral lists this ribosomal RNA (483 nucleotides) under uncultured bacterium. Its description in RNAcentral is "partial 16S ribosomal RNA". It matches the Rfam family "Bacterial small subunit ribosomal RNA", at positions 28 to 523 of the family's 1533-position model. The record is from RNAcentral.
GACGAACGCUGGCGGCGUGCUUUACACAUGCAAGUCGAACGGUGAAGGUGGAGCUUGCUCCGCCGGAUCAGUGGCGAACGGGUGAGUAACACGUGGGCAACCUGCCCCUAACUUUGGGAUAACUACUCGAAAGAGUAGCUAAUACCGGAUAUGAAGUCUGUAGGCAUCUAUGGAUUUGGAAAGUUUUUCGGUUAGGGAUGGGCCCUCGGCCUAUCAGCUUGUUGGUGAGGUAGUGGCUCACCAAGGCGACGCCGGGUAGCCGGACUGGGAGGGCGACCGGCCACUCUGGGACUGAGACACGGUCCAGACUCCUACGGGAGGCAGCAGUGGGGAAUAUUGCGCGAUGGGCGAAAGCCUGACGCAGCAACGCCGCGUGCGGGAUGAAGGCCUUCGGGUUGUAAACCGCUUCCAGCAGGGAAGAAGCGAAAGUGACGGUACCUGCAGAAGAAGCACCGGCUAACUACGUGCCAGCCGCCGCCGUAA